This 344-nucleotide unclassified non-coding RNA is filed under the name soil metagenome. Its description in RNAcentral is "partial contains 5.8S ribosomal RNA, internal transcribed spacer 2, and large subunit ribosomal RNA". The stretch from base 1 to 118 matches the Rfam family "5.8S ribosomal RNA", at positions 35 to 154 of the family's 154-position model. The record is from RNAcentral.
GAUGAAGAACCAGCGAAAUGCGAUACGUAAUGUGAAUUGCAAAUUCAGUGAAUCAUCGAGUCUUUGAACGCACAUUGCGCCCCCUGGUAUUCCGGGGGGCAUGCCUGUCCGAGCGUCAUUGCUGCCCUCAAGCACGGCUUGUGUGUUGGGCCCCGUCCUCCGAUCCCGGGGGACGGGCCCGAAAGGCAGCGGCGGCACCGCGUCCGGUCCUCGAGCGUAUGGGGCUUUGUCACCCGCUCUGUAGGCCCGGCCGGCGCUUGCCGAUCAACCCAAAUUUUUAUCCAGGUUGACCUCGGAUCAGGUAGGGAUACCCGCUGAACUUAAGCAUAUCAAUAAGCGGAGGA